This 23-nucleotide non-coding RNA is filed under the name Cricetulus griseus (Chinese hamster). The record is from RNAcentral. Lineage: Eukaryota; Metazoa; Chordata; Mammalia; Rodentia; Cricetidae.
UAUUGGAAGGGCUCGUCGCCAGU